UUCAUACAAUGGGUCUUUUGG
Non-coding RNA from Caenorhabditis elegans, 21 nucleotides. The record is from Ensembl. NCBI's taxonomy places the organism in Eukaryota, Metazoa, Nematoda, Chromadorea, Rhabditida, Rhabditidae.